RNAcentral lists this ribosomal RNA (409 nucleotides) under uncultured bacterium. RNAcentral's name for it is "bacterial SSU rRNA". It matches the Rfam family "Bacterial small subunit ribosomal RNA", at positions 354 to 777 of the family's 1533-position model. The record is from RNAcentral.
GUGGGGAAUAUUGGGCAAUGGGCGCAAGCCUGACCCAGCAACGCCGCGUGAAGGAAGAAGGCUUUCGGGUUGUAAACUUCUUUUGUCAGGGACGAAACAAAUGACGGUACCUGACGAAUAAGCCACGGCUAACUACGUGCCAGCAGCCGCGGUAAUACGUAGGUGGCAAGCGUUAUCCGGAUUUACUGGGUGUAAAGGGCGUGUAGGCGGGAGUGCAAGUCAGAUGUGAAAAUUAUGGGCUCAACCCAUAACCUGCAUUUGAAACUGUACUUCUUGAGUACUGGAGAGGCAGGCGGAAUUCCGUGUGUAGCGGUGAAAUGCGUAGAUAUACGGAGGAACACCAGUGGCGAAGGCGGCCUGCUGGACAGCAACUGACGCUGAGGCGCGAAAGCGUGGGGAGCAAACAGGA